GGUGUGGGAAAAAUGCUUCUCACUGUAGGGUAAUCAGCUUUUUCAUUAACAACUUUCUUGGUACAAAAAGUCCUUAGGGAUAAGGAGAGAGAGAGGGAGAGGGAGGAGCUCUCCAAUAAUACAGUGGAUAUAUACGUUUGUACAUAAGAGAAAGCAGUCACGGGGAGAAGUCUUUAGUCUUUACACAUAUCCGAGAGAAUAUUUAUUCUCUUGCUUCUCAGCCAACAACACAUAAAGCAACGAACUGAUGCCUGCAACAGCAUACUUCUGCAGAAAUAAUAACGAUAUAAAUUNACCUUAAUAGAGUAAGGAAGAUAACAAAGGCUCCACUGCUUGCAUUAGGCUUCUAAUUAUUGUUUAAUUGGGGGGAUUUUGAAAAUAGAUAUAUUACUUUUAGUCAAACAGCUCAAGAGGGAUAGACAAGGAAGGAGAAGAUGAGUUGGGUGAAAACAGCAAAAAAUGAAUUUGAGACUCUAAAUCAAGAAAUUCUGAUUUAGAGUGUACAAUGGAUGUAAGAAGGGGUCUUAUAAGAUUAAAAAAAGGUCUUACAAGGUCAAGAAGCUUAAAAAAAAAAAAAAUGAUAGAAAAAGCUCAGGUAGGAUAGCACCCAAUUAUCGUGAACAAGCCACCGUUACAAAGGGACUUUUAGCAUCAAACUUGAAUCCUGCCAAAAAUCCACUACUUGAAGCGUUGCAGACGGUGGCGUGGUUC
This 711-nucleotide unclassified non-coding RNA is filed under the name Hevea brasiliensis (rubber tree). Lineage: Eukaryota; Viridiplantae; Streptophyta; Magnoliopsida; Malpighiales; Euphorbiaceae. The record is from RNAcentral.